AUUGAACGCUGGCGGCAGGCCUAACGCAUGCAAGUCGAGCGGAUGAAGGGAGCUUGCUCCUGGAUUCAGCGGCGGACGGGUGAGUAAUGCCUAGGAAUCUGCCUGGUAGUGGGGGAUAACGUCCGGAAACGGGCGCUAAUACCGCAUACGUCCUGAGGGAGAAAGUGGGGGAUCUUCGGACCUCACGCUAUCAGAUGAGCCUAGGUCGGAUUAGCUAGUUGGUGGGGUAAAGGCCUACCAAGGCGACGAUCCGUAACUGGUCUGAGAGGAUGAUCAGUCACACUGGAACUGAGACACGGUCCAGACUCCUACGGGAGGCAGCAGUGGGGAAUAUUGGACAAAGGGCGAAAGCCUGAUCCAGCCGUGCCGCGUGUGUGAAGAAGGUCUUCGGAUUGUAAAGCACUUUAAGUUGGGAGGAAGGGCAGUAAGUUAAUACCUUGCUGUUUUGACGUUACCAACAGAAUAAGCACCGGCUAACUUCGUG
This 484-nucleotide ribosomal RNA is filed under the name uncultured bacterium. RNAcentral's name for it is "partial 16S ribosomal RNA". It matches the Rfam family "Bacterial small subunit ribosomal RNA", at positions 30 to 507 of the family's 1533-position model. The record is from RNAcentral.